Molecule: long non-coding RNA, 206 nt
Filed under: Solanum tuberosum (potato)
Lineage: Eukaryota; Viridiplantae; Streptophyta; Magnoliopsida; Solanales; Solanaceae
Description: long non-coding RNA (STUB_LNC007256)
Source: RNAcentral
AAUUCUUGACAUCAUGUCUAGCAUUAUGUAGAACUUUCACUGAGAGCUCGGUAAUAAAAUCUUUAGCCCCAGGACCUACGGCAACUGUUCGAUCUGGUGGGAUAAUCACCUUCAACUUUCCAUUGUCAUUUUCCUUACGUUUCUUUUGGGUUGAAAGCCCUGUUGUCUUUCCUCUUCCCUUUCUCUUUUUUCUUUAACAAUACAUA